GAGACACCCUUCUGGGGCAAGACUUGCUUCAGUGGGGCUUUGGUGCUCACUGAGUCUGCCCCCUGAAUGUGUCCCU
This is a non-coding RNA of Myotis lucifugus (little brown bat), 76 nucleotides long. Lineage: Eukaryota; Metazoa; Chordata; Mammalia; Chiroptera; Vespertilionidae. The record is from Rfam.